RNAcentral lists this ribosomal RNA (733 nucleotides) under Bacillus subtilis. RNAcentral's name for it is "bacterial SSU rRNA". It matches the Rfam family "Bacterial small subunit ribosomal RNA", at positions 65 to 780 of the family's 1533-position model. The record is from RNAcentral. Lineage: Bacteria; Bacillati; Bacillota; Bacilli; Caryophanales; Bacillaceae.
AGCGGACAGAUGGGAGCUUGCUCCCUGAUGUUAGCGGCGGACGGGUGAGUAACACGUGGGUAACCUGCCUGUAAGACUGGGAUAACUCCGGGAAACCGGGGCUAAUACCGGAUGGUUGUUUGAACCGCAUGGUUCAAACAUAAAAGGUGGCUUCGGCUACCACUUACAGAUGGACCCGCGGCGCAUUAGCUAGUUGGUGAGGUAACGGCUCACCAAGGCAACGAUGCGUAGCCGACCUGAGAGGGUGAUCGGCCACACUGGGACUGAGACACGGCCCAGACUCCUACGGGAGGCAGCAGUAGGGAAUCUUCCGCAAUGGACGAAAGUCUGACGGAGCAACGCCGCGUGAGUGAUGAAGGUUUUCGGAUCGUAAAGCUCUGUUGUUAGGGAAGAACAAGUACCGUUCGAAUAGGGCGGUACCUUGACGGUACCUAACCAGAAAGCCACGGCUAACUACGUGCCAGCAGCCGCGGUAAUACGUAGGUGGCAAGCGUUGUCCGGAAUUAUUGGGCGUAAAGGGCUCGCAGGCGGUUUCUUAAGUCUGAUGUGAAAGCCCCCGGCUCAACCGGGGAGGGUCAUUGGAAACUGGGGAACUUGAGUGCAGAAGAGGAGAGUGGAAUUCCACGUGUAGCGGUGAAAUGCGUAGAGAUGUGGAGGAACACCAGUGGCGAAGGCGACUCUCUGGUCUGUAACUGACGCUGAGGAGCGAAAGCGUGGGGAGCGAACAGGAUUA